GAUGAACGCUGGCGGCGUGCCUAAUACAUGCAAGUCGAGCGAACAGAUGAGGAGCUUGCUCCUCUGACGUUAGCGGCGGACGGGUGAGUAACACGUGGAUAACCUACCUAUAAGACUGGGAUAACUUCGGGAAACCGGAGCUAAUACCGGAUAAUAUAUUGAACCGCAUGGUUCAAUAGUGAAAGACGGUUUUGCUGUCACUUAUAGAUGGAUCCGCGCCGCAUUAGCUAGUUGGUAGGGUAAUGGCUUACCAAGGCAACGAUGCGUAGCCGACCUGAGAGGGUGAUCGGCCACACUGGAACUGAGACACGGUCCAGACUCCUACGGGAGGCAGCAGUAGGGAAUCUUCCGCAAUGGGCGAAAGCCUGACGGAGCAACGCCGCGUGAGUGAUGAAGGUCUUCGGAUCGUAAAACUCUGUUAUUAGGGAAGAACAAAUGUGUAAGUAACUAUGCACGUCUUGACGGUACCUAAUCAGAAAGCCACGGCUAACUACGUG
RNAcentral lists this ribosomal RNA (497 nucleotides) under uncultured bacterium. Its description in RNAcentral is "partial 16S ribosomal RNA". It matches the Rfam family "Bacterial small subunit ribosomal RNA", at positions 28 to 507 of the family's 1533-position model. The record is from RNAcentral.